GCAUCUCGAACUUUGUCCACAAUCUCCUUAUACUUUAUCGGAUCCUCAUCAAUGCCUUUGAGGUCUAUCACUGGAAAACUGAUGUGUGUUUCACAUGUUUUUACCCUGUAUUUUGGCGGUAGAAUGAAUACUUGAGGUACUUUAUUGAUUCCGGAAUCAACAAGCCCUUUGACACCAGCCUUAGUAUCAUCAAAGGCUAUUAGGUCACUCAUUUUGUCAUAACUAUUCUGAAUUGUGGCCUGAAAAUCAUCUUUUUUGCUGUAGACUGCCAU
This 272-nucleotide unclassified non-coding RNA is filed under the name Hevea brasiliensis (rubber tree). The record is from RNAcentral. Lineage: Eukaryota; Viridiplantae; Streptophyta; Magnoliopsida; Malpighiales; Euphorbiaceae.